Molecule: transfer RNA, 78 nt
Filed under: mine drainage metagenome
Description: tRNA-Val
Source: RNAcentral
GCGCGACGCGGUGCAGGAACUGGCGCCGAUGGCCCUCGACAAGGGCCAGGACCUGGAGUUCGACGCCCCGGACGCGCC